CCUACGGGGAGCAGCAGUGGGGAAUAUUGGACAAUGGGCGAAAGCCUGAUCCAGCCAUGCCGCGUGUGUGAAGAAGGCCUUCGGGUUGUAAAGCACUUUCAGUGGGGAAGAAAGCCUUGGGGCUAAUACCCUCGAGGAAGGACAUCACCCACAGAAGAAGCACCGGCUAACUCCGUGCCAGCAGCCGCGGUAAUACGGAGGGUGCGAGCGUUAAUCGGAAUUACUGGGCGUAAAGCGCGCGUAGGCGGUCUGAUAAGCCGGUUGUGAAAGCCCCGGGCUCAACCUGGGAACGGCAUCCGGAACUGUCAGGCUAGAGUGCAGGAGAGGAAGGUAGAAUUCCCGGUGUAGCGGUGAAAUGCGUAGAGAUCGGGAGGAAUACCAGUGGCGAAGCCGGCCUUCUGGACUGACACUGACGCUGAGGUGCGAAAGCGUGGGUAGCAAACAGGAUUAGAUACCCGUGUAGUC
This 465-nucleotide ribosomal RNA is filed under the name Vreelandella stevensii. Its description in RNAcentral is "partial 16S ribosomal RNA". It matches the Rfam family "Bacterial small subunit ribosomal RNA", at positions 338 to 795 of the family's 1533-position model. The record is from RNAcentral. Lineage: Bacteria; Pseudomonadati; Pseudomonadota; Gammaproteobacteria; Oceanospirillales; Halomonadaceae.